GUGGGCGUGGCCAAGUUUGGUCUAAGGCGCCAGGUUGUGGCCCUGGAGAUCGAGGGUUCAAAUCCCUCCGCUCACCCCA
This 79-nucleotide transfer RNA is filed under the name Chloroflexota bacterium. RNAcentral describes it as "Chloroflexi bacterium tRNA-His". It matches the Rfam family "tRNA". Rfam says of the family: Transfer RNA (tRNA) molecules are approximately 80 nucleotides in length. Their secondary structure includes four short double-helical elements and three loops (D, anti-codon, and T loops). The record is from RNAcentral. Lineage: Bacteria; Bacillati; Chloroflexota. RNAcentral also lists the same sequence under 2 other names.